AACGAACGCUGGCGGCAGGCUUAACACAUGCAAGUCGAGCGAGACCUUCGGGUCUAGCGGCGGACGGGUGAGUAACGCGUGGGAACGUGCCCUUCUCUACGGAAUAGCCCCGGGAAACUGGGAGUAAUACCGUAUACGCCCUUUGGGGGAAAGAUUUAUCGGAGAAGGAUCGGCCCGCGUUGGAUUAGGUAGUUGGUGGGGUAAUGGCCCACCAAGCCGACGAUCCAUAGCUGGUUUGAGAGGAUGAUCAGCCACACUGGGACUGAGACACGGCCCAGACUCCUACGGGAGGCAGCAGUGGGGAAUCUUAGACAAUGGGGGCAACCCUGUUCUAGCCAUGCCGCGUGAGUGAUGAAGGCCUUAGGGUUGUAAAGCUCUUUCAGCUGGGAAGAUAAUGACGGUACCAGCAGAAGAAGCCCCGGCUAACUCCGUG
RNAcentral lists this ribosomal RNA (433 nucleotides) under uncultured bacterium. Its description in RNAcentral is "partial 16S ribosomal RNA". It matches the Rfam family "Bacterial small subunit ribosomal RNA", at positions 29 to 507 of the family's 1533-position model. The record is from RNAcentral.